This 468-nucleotide ribosomal RNA is filed under the name uncultured bacterium. RNAcentral's name for it is "partial 16S ribosomal RNA". It matches the Rfam family "Bacterial small subunit ribosomal RNA", at positions 28 to 507 of the family's 1533-position model. The record is from RNAcentral.
GACGAACGCUGGCGGCGUGCUUAACACAUGCAAGUCGAACGGACAGGCCCUGCUUUUGUGGGGUGCUCGAUUGGCGAACGGGUGAGUAACACGUGAGUAACCUGCCCUUGACUUUGGGAUAACUUCAGGAAACUGGGGCUAUUACCGGAUAGGAGCUCCUGCUGCAUGGUGGGGGUUGGAAAGUUUCGGCGGUUGGGGAUGGACUCGCGGCUUAUCGGCUUGUUGGUGGGGUAGUGGCUUACCAAGGCUGUGACGGAUAGCCGGCCUGAGAGGGUGACCGGCCACAUUGGGACUGAGAUACGGCGCAGACUCCUACGGGAGGCAGCAGGGGGGAAUAUUGCAGAAUGGGGGGAAGCCAGAUGCAGAAACGCCGCGUGCGGGAUGACGGCCUUCGGGUUGUAAACAGCUGUCGAAUGUGACGAAGCGUGAGUGACGGUAAUGGGUAAAGAAGCACCGGCUAACUACGUG